This 119-nucleotide ribosomal RNA is filed under the name Strigamia maritima. The record is from RNAcentral. Lineage: Eukaryota; Metazoa; Arthropoda; Chilopoda; Geophilomorpha; Linotaeniidae.
GUGAACGGUCAUACUAUGCUGAAAACACCGGUUCUCGUCCAAUCCCCGAAGUUAAGCAGCAUCAGGUCUGGUUAGUACUUGGAUGGGUGACCACCUGGGAAUCUCAGAUGCUCUUUGCU